GAAAUGCGAUAAGUAGUGUGAAUUGCAGAAUUCAGUGAAUCAUCGAAUCUUUGAACGCCCAUUGCGCCCCUUGGUAUUCCAUGGGGCAUGCCUGUUCGAGCGUCAUUUGUACCCUCAAGCUCUGCUUGGUGUUGGGUGUUUGUCCCCGUCUCCGCGCGUGGACUCGCCCCAAAGUGAUUGGCAGCCGGCGUACUGGUCCCGGAGCGCAGCACAUGUCGCGCAAACGAGUGCCUUGGUACGGCGGCGUCCAUAAGCCCCUCUCUCACGCUCUUGACCUCGGAUCAGGUAGGGAUACCCGCUGAACUUAAGC
This 310-nucleotide unclassified non-coding RNA is filed under the name plant metagenome. Its description in RNAcentral is "partial contains 5.8S ribosomal RNA, internal transcribed spacer 2, and large subunit ribosomal RNA". The stretch from base 1 to 105 matches the Rfam family "5.8S ribosomal RNA", at positions 50 to 154 of the family's 154-position model. The record is from RNAcentral.